RNAcentral lists this ribosomal RNA (429 nucleotides) under Chloroflexota bacterium. Its description in RNAcentral is "Chloroflexi bacterium partial 16S ribosomal RNA". It matches the Rfam family "Bacterial small subunit ribosomal RNA", at positions 355 to 776 of the family's 1533-position model. The record is from RNAcentral. Lineage: Bacteria; Bacillati; Chloroflexota.
UGGGGAAUAUUGCACAAUGGGCGCAAGCCUGAUGCAGCCAUGCCGCGUGUAUGAAGAAGGCCUUCGGGUUGUAAAGUACUUUCAGCGGGGAGGAAGGGAGUAAAGUUAAUACCUUUGCUCAUUGACGUUACCCGCAGAAGAAGCACCGGCUAACUCCGUGCCAGCAGCCGCGGUAAUACGGAGGGUGCAAGCGUUAAUCGGAAUUACUGGGCGUAAAGCGCACGCAGGCGGUUUGUUAAGUCAGAUGUGAAAUCCCCGGGCUCAACCUGGGAACUGCAUCUGAUACUGGCAAGCUUGAGUCUCGUAGAGGGGGGUAGAAUUCCAGGUGUGGCGGUGAAAUGCGUAGGGAUCUGGAGGAAUACCGGUGGCGAAGGCGGCCCCCUGGACGAAGACUGACGCUCAGGUGCGAAAGCGUGGGGAGCAAACGGG